AAAGCCUUCUUCUUUGGAACCCGGUUGAUAUCAAUCUUGAUAUCGGUGAGUGAGAUUCUCUUGAAGUUCAUUUGGCUCCUCACCAUAUCUGGGGCAUCAACCAGAGCCUGUAAAAGACAAGUCACGAAUUGCAUUCAAUGUAAGCUGACCAAUUCCACGGAUGCCCAACAAAUCAUAGAAUCAAAAGAUGUUUGAAAAUAACAUAUCCUAAACAAGUUCAUGAGCACCAAACAACCUUACAGACUUCGGUAUAUACAAAAAACAUCAACACUGGUUUCCUCAGAGCAGAGACGUUAAUCUUAAACACCCUAAGCUCAAUAAACAUUCAAAGCCUAAUGCUUACAAGAAACAGAACAAUUUCGCACAUAAAAGCCAACAGGCUACAUAACACAAACUAAUCCAAUAUGUGUAUGCAUCACCCAGGAAGCUAGGUAAAUUUUUAGUAAGCAAAGAAAGCUCACAUUUAAGUGAUCUAAGGAUCACAAACUCUAUUUUUUAAUCGGUUUUCUUCACUAGAAAGUUUGAUUGAUUAAACUCUAAAAAAACAUGACUAUCUGUUUUUUAUGACAAAAAACAAGAAAACAGAAACAAAAGAAGCAGUAAGCAUAUGGUAAGACAAAUAAACAAGAGACAGAAGCAUACGCGGUUCUGGUCGAUGACAUCAACGAUCACAACGAUCCUGCCGUAUUCUUUGCCAUAGUUGACGAGACCUACCCUCCCGAUCUCCACGUAUCUCUUGAAAGGCUACAAGACCACAUCACAUACAAGAACAAAAUGAUGUUAGAUUAAGAGUGGUAUAAGUGAGUUGUCGAGAGAAGGAGAAAGAGAGAAGUAGCUAACCAUGCUGGGUUCUUGAGGUGUGCGUCACUGUGAAAGCAGGGGGGAGGCGGACAGCUAAGGAAGACGCAGAAAUGACAAGGAGUUAGGGUUUGUUUGUCUUGUUAUAUAUUUACUUCUUAUGGAAGAUUUUAGACCGUCCGAUUUAGGGUUUACAUUCUUCUAAGGGGUUGGGUUUAAGGAUAGGUUCCGAGCUGGUAAAAGUUAUUGGGCCUUAUUAAGUUCGGUGGAUUUGGACUGGACACAUUGGUCACUGCCUUCUUUCCACCAGCUGGUAAACUUGGUAUGAUUUGAUGAGUUGGACCGAUAAUAAUUUAGAGUUUUACUUAUAUUUUAUCCAGGAUUGGUUUGAAAUUUGAUUUCACCAAACAACAAUUUUAAAUGUUUUUUUUAUAGUUUUUAUCGAAAACAAUGAGUUGUACUACAAAUAAAAUAAUAUUAUUUUAAAAUUGGUUCAACAAACCCACUAUUAAAACCUUAAAUUGGAUGAAAUCUUAGAUCCAGUUUAAUAAUUAAAACAAUUAUGACAUAAAAAGUUAAAGUAGAGCCUUUUUUUUAUAAUAAUUUGGGGAUAUUUAGGAGAGUAGUUAUAGUAUUUUUUUUAAAAUUAUGUUUUAUUUGAAAAUAUAUUAAAAUAAUAUAUAUUUUUUAUUUUUUAAAAUUAUUUUUAAUAUUAUUAUAUUAAAGCGGUGUUAAAAUAUAUAUAUAUAUAAUUAAUUUAAAAAUAUAUAUAUAUAUAUAUAUAUUUAUUUUUUUAUUUGAAAUGGAAACGGUAGGUGACAAAGUCAAGUCUUUCCAGCCAUUUGUUUCCACUGAAAGACUUUAAAGUCUUUUCGUGGCGAAGACCAAUUGCUAAUUCUUGACGUGUAAGCACUGGUCGCCAGUGCUUUUGCUCUCUCCCUUGUACCCGCCAUUACCAAGGUUUUGCUUCUCGAUGAGCUCAUAACAUAUUAAGUAACUUUUUGACAGUUUAUCCAUCGACUGCAAUGGACCGUCCAAGUUUGGUUUCCCUCUUCUCUCGUAUUCUCAUUACUCUUUGUUUUGGAAUUGCACAACCGCAACAAUUUUGUUCCAACAACGGAAUCUAUUCUGUAAAUAGUACCUACAGCAAUAAUCUCAAUCUCCUACUCUCUUCUCUCCCUUCAAGCAUAGCUGAGAAUGGUUUCUUCUACAACGCCACAGAAGGCCAAGGCCCUGACAAAGUCUAUGCUCUGGCCCUUUGUAGAGAAGAUCUUCCCUCAGAAAAAUGCUCCAGUUGCGUUAACACUGCUAGCCAAGACAUUAAACAGGAGUGUCCUCAUAAAAAAGAAGCACUCUUGUGGACGGAUUCUAAUUGCCUGGUAAGGUAUGCGAAUCGUGAUAUUUUCGCCAAGAUGGAGGAGGAAAUAUCUUCCUUCUGCGUAUCCAAUCCGAAUGAUUUCUCUGGAGAUUUUGCUAGAUUCAACAAGACACUACAUGAUUUGAUGGAGGAACUUAUAACUCAGGCUUCCUCGGGUCCCAAAAAGUUUGCAACAGGAUAUGUGAACUUCACAAAACCGAUAUAUGGUCUGGUGCAAUGUACCCCUGAUAUAUCAGAGCGUGAUUGCGGAAUUUGUCUACAGAAGGGAAUGGGAGAAAUGGAAAGCUGUUCUGGUGGACGCGAAGGAGGAAGAAUUCUUCGUCCAAGUUGCAUGGUUUGGUUUGAGGUAUUUCGUUUUUAUAUCAUUCCUACUGGUAGUGUAGAUGAUCCGCUACAAUUUCCUCCGGGCGCGGCGCCUAUCUUACCUCCUCAGCCACCAUCUCCUCCAAGUCCCGCUAACGCAUCCCCUCUCAACGAGACAAGUAAGAAACGUGUGUUACAUGCUUAAGUAGAAAGUUGAUAUCAAUUUUAGGGUGUACAGGCAGUUUGAAUUCUACCGUGAAUGGUAUUAAAACGAGCAUUAUUUUUUUAGCUCUUGUGGGUACUCGAGAGAUUUUGGUAAUUGAUUAGAGUCCAUUUCGAUAAAAGUGAAAUCAACUCAUUUUGUUACUUGCAUGCUCAUGGCAAUUAAAGGUACACAGACAGUGGCGGAGCCACGUGGGUGUAAAAGGAGGCAAUUAUCCCCUUAAUUUGUUUUAAAUGUUUAUUAUAUUAGGAUAUUAAUAUAAUAAUUUGGGGAGGGUUUGAUACAUGGAAAGUGGAAAGUUAUUGUUUAAUUAUAUUUUAAUAUAAUAUAUAAUAUAUAUUUCCAGCUCAUUUACUUAAAUUUUUUUUUUUUUUUUUACUAAUUAACAUAGAGUUUUUUUUUCCUUUUAAGUUGUUGUUGCCUCUUUUUUUUUUUACGUAAAUUUUUUUUUCAAGUCCAGUAACUUUUCUUUUGCUUUAUGUUUUAGGUUAGAUUUUUUUUUAAUCUUUUUUAUUUAUUUCAUUAUCUAAUUUUAAUUUUUUUUAUAUAAUUAGUUAUUAAAUAUAUUAGAGUUUAUGAUAAUUUAGGGGUUUUGAUAUGAAUGUGUUCAAAAUAAAUAUUUGAAUUUUUUAAUUUAAUCAAUUUAAUGUUUUUUUUAUUAUAAAUGAAUAAAUUAAUAUUCAUGCAAAAUCACUAUUUUUUGCAUCUCUUGUAUUGACAGAGUAGAUUAUUAAAAUUAUUUAACUAAGGUCUCUUAGUUCACUAUAAUUAUGGAUUAAUUAUUUAAUUAAGCCUCUUAAUUUACAAUGUACAUAUAUUAAUUGUCAUUUUAUAUCAAAUUUAUUUGUAAUUAAUUGUUAACGAGAUGCUUGGAGUUAGAAGAGGGUAUGGAUUUAAAUCCCAUAAGUUACACUUUCUCUCUCUUAGUAUUUUCUCUUAUUUGAAACUAGAGUAUAAUAUUAAAACUUGUUUCACAUAUUUGACUUAAUGAAUUUAUACAACUUUUAUGUGUGUGUAAAUAAUUUAAAUGUCUAGAAAUGAUUAAGUAUAAUUUAAUCAACAUACUUAUAUAUAUAUAUAUAUAUAUAUAUAUAUAUAUAAUUGAAAUGAGUUUUGAUAAAUUGAUGUGUAUUUUGAUAUGAAUAUCAUAUGAAAGAUUUAGAAUUAUUAUGCAACUCAACUGACUUUAUUAUUGUGUUAAUUAUUAUGAAGACAUUAAUGAUAAUAAUAAAAUCACUAGGUUCAUCAAUUAAAUUAACACGUCACUAUAAAAGUAUUUCAAGUGUAAAUCCUUUAAGGAUGAAUAGUAAUUCAAAACUUCAAGUUAUAUAAUUCAAUUAAGUUAAAAUAAAAAAUCAUAUUAAAAAGUUACAGUAUUUAUUAUUAAUUUGCCCCCUCAUAGAAAAAGCUUUGGCUCCACCACUAAAGGUACAGGUACUAGUGCAAGCAAGUUUUUUGUUUCCUGUGAUGACUCCAUGCUCAAGAAUAAUUAUGUUUGGAUAUUUAUAAAAUGAAGGAUAUAUAAUUAGCUCAGAAACAUUUAUUCAACUUGUGUUUAAUCAGUACUUAUCUCGGUGCCAUGCAGGAAACAAGAUUGUUAUUAUCAUUGUUGUGGCUGUAGCCAUCUCAGUUACCCUUAUCACAAUCAUUUGUGCUCUUUUCCUAUGGAGAAGGAUGAAGCAGAAAGUUGAGAGUAAGUCUAUACAUUUUUAGUGUUUGCUUGCCAUUAUUCUGCAACUUAGAUGAAUAGGUUUUCUACAUGUUGGCCCUAAAAAGCACUACAUAAGUUCAUUUUCGUUUACAUUGGAGUAGGAAUGGAGUUUGUACGAAGAGUAAUGAUUAUAGAACCCCUCCAAGCAUUUUCUCUGUGGUGGAAGUAACAUUAGCUUAAAUAUAGUUCAUUAGAUAAUAUCAUGUCACCGCUUGCUAAUUUUGAUUUUUUAUUCUGUGAAGAUGAUGAUGAUGAGAUGAGAAUGCUAGAAUCCUUGGAAUUCAACUUCAGUACCUUGAGAAUAGCAACAGAUGAAUUCAGCAAUGAUAAUAAACUUGGACAAGGUGGAUUUGGUUCAGUUUACAAGGUAACCUUCUUGUAAUAACAACGCACUUUCAUCAGGUUUUUUCAUGUCUGUAAAGCUGAAUUAGUUGCAGAUUAUCUUUUCUCAGCUUGUUAACAUCUUGGUAUUAGAUAUUAACAUAGAUAUAUCAGUGAACAACAAUUAUUAGGAGGAAAGGAAAUAUAAAAUAGAAAACAUUAGGGAAAGAAAUCAGUGGACAUCAAAUUCUGAUUGCCUGUACACUUUCCUGUUCCAGAAGCUUUAAUGUAAAAAACAUGAAACACUUGUCUGGGCUACUGUCAAAGCAGUGGGUAGUUCGUACUCGUGUUCUUCGAGAAGGCAACCGCUGUGCGGAUUGCAUGGCUAACCUGGUCAUAAUUAUAUCUUGGGUGUUCAUAUGUUAAUAAUCCUGUUAAUGGUCUGUCUACAUUAUUGUAUGCUGACAUGAUCGGGGCUGCUAGUCGUUUGUGGUUAUGUUUCUUUUGGGCUUAGGCCCUACCAAAAAAGAAAAAGAAAAAAUGAAACACUUGUCUUUAUUUACUCUGUUAAUCUUCAGGGAGUGCUUCCAAACGGACAAGAAAUUGCUGUCAAAAGGCUAUCCGGCUGUUCUUCACAAGGUGAAGUAGAAUUCAAGAAUGAGAUUCUGUUAUUGGCUAAGCUCCAACACAGAAAUCUUGUUAGCCUUGUAGGUUUUUGCUCUGAAGGACAGGAACGAAUCCUUGUUUAUGAGUUUUUGGGGAAUGGCAGCCUUGAUAAAUUCAUAUUUGGUACUACUGCUUUACCUUUUACUAAACGAAUUGUUUAGCAUAUCUGAAGUAGCUCUCUUUUAAUCCACAAGUAGGAUUUGGUAAACUUAUUGAAUGAAAUUGUAGAUCCAAUCAAGAGCACCCAACUGAAUUGGGAAACAAGGUGCAGAAUCAUCAGUGGCAUUGCUAGAGGAAUUCUUUAUCUUCAUGAAGAUUCUCGUCUUAGGAUAUUCAUCGUGACCUGAAAGCUAGCAAUGUCUUGUUAGAUGAAGAGAUGAAUCCUAAAGUUUCAGAUUUUGGCUUGGCAAGGCAGUUUCAACCGGAUCAAACUCAACGCAUUACCAGCAGAGUUGCGGGGACCUAGUGAGUAUUAAAAUCAACUCAAUGAUUAUACUGUUUAGAAAUUCCAUAGAACUACUAGGAAAAAAAAACUCUUUUAUGUUUCAUAAAACCUGAGAUGGAAUAAGUCAGUUUCAAAAGAGCUCUGCUAGCAUUUGAAUUGACAUUGUCCUCCUAUCGUUGAUGUUUUUUAGCGGCUACAUGGCUCCAGAAUAUGCCUUGCAAAAUCGAUUCUCAGUGAAAUCUGAUGUCUUCAGUUUUGGAGUGUUGGUUCUAGAGAUAGUAACUGGUAAGAAAAACAGCUGGCUGAGCAAUUCGGAGGAACUAGAGCUCCUUCUAAUCCAUGUAAGUGUGCUCGUAUCUUAGUCAAGCUUUGUGUUUGCUUCUUUAUGCUUGGAGUAGACAGGAACCGUUAAGGAUAGCUAAGAAGUGCGUGCAUCAAAAUUAGUUUAUCGUGUGAUUGACCUGGUUUUUGUGUGGAAGAACUGAACUUUUUCAUUCAGAUGAGUUAGUUUCAACGAGAGCAUUUCACACCCUGCAGGCAUGGAGAAAUUGGAGAGAAGGAACAGCUACGAACCUGAUUGACGAAACAUUGAGGGGCAGUCCAGUAACGGAUGUAAUGAGAUGCUUCCACAUAGGUUUAUUGUGUGUUCAAGAGAAUGUGUCAGGUAGACCCACCAUGGCUGCUGUUGUUCCUAUGCUCAAUAGCCACUCCUGGAGUCUCCCAUCACCUUCACGACCUGCGUUUCUUUUGGACAGUAACACAGACACAGGCUUGCCUUCAUUAAAAUCCGAUACAGGAACUACUACGCAGGACCAAUCCACAGAAAACACACAAGGGACAGCAUAUCUGUAGAAAUUUUCAUAGACUGAGACAUACUCUCAAUAGCACGAAAACAUGAUUGCAUUGUUUGAAAAUUGAUACAAUUUCGAAAGACAUGAUGCUGCACAUGGUUUGUUGAAUGGUAUCUGAUGACCAUAGUGAUUUUGUUAAGUCUCCUCUGAUUGCAUUAUGCUAGACAUGGUUGUUUGUAAGUAGACUCUGGACCCUAAUGAUGUUAACUCACCAUUGAUUGUGAUAGGAACUGGACCGGAUCAUAGCUAUCCUCUUUGAGUGCUAUUGAAAUGAUAAGAUAUGAACAUAUCAAAAUGCACAUAUACUAAAUAGAAUCCAGAGCCCAAUUUGAAAGUUAUGACUGGUUCCGUAAUUUGUAACCCAUAUAUAUGUUAACCAAGAGAUCGAUUUUGAACAUAGAAUGUGGUUUCUGAGUUUGAUUAGAUAUCUUUUGGUUUUUUUAAUGGAUUGGAGCAUGAUUUCUAAACGUUUUUUUGGAUAAUCCUAAGGUGUUUUUGAACAAAAAUGGUGUACAGGGCCAAAACAAUGCUUUCAGAUUCCAUCAAGCAAUUUCCAAGUUUUGGUCAUCGGAAACUUAGGGAAGAAGGUGAAUUAAACGUUGCGUCAUCUUUAGCUAUAGACAACAUGUUGUUCACCAAUUAAAUAAAAAAAAAAUAUCUUAGACCUGAUCAAAAUGAUAAUGCCUGAUUAAUUCCUGUAUAAUCACAAUUAUACCUUAGAGGCUACGUCAAAUAAGUUUUUUUAAGAAAAGUAAAAUAGUAAUUAUACUAUUCCGUCCACAGUACAUAUAGAGUACGUCUGCAUAAUGAUUUUCUUCAUCUCUUUCAGUUUUUUUUUUAAUUUAUUCUAACACAGUAAGAUUCCUUGAGAUAUGAAAAAAAAAUAGCAAACUUAUUUCGUAGGUUGUAUAUUUUGACAUGAAAUGCAGUGCAGACUAGACAAUAGAUGCACAUUCAAAGGUCAUUUUCUGUCGCGGCCCAUCCAUUUUAACCUGUUAGACAGCCUCCCCCAGCCUACGCAAGUCUCUACAAAAUAGAAAUGUUCAUUGAAAUAGCAAGUAAAAUCUUUAAUUAUUUUAACACUAAGAUACUCCACCACAAUGCAACAUCUCAGAACCUUUCUAUAUUCAUCCCAGAAAGGGAAUCCUUGGCAUCUAUCUUAUCUUCUUAUCGCAGGCGACGAGGCUCAUUAUUAAGAUUAUUUUCUAGCAUCUGCUUCUACUGUCUACUUGAAUUAUGCCCUUCAGUGGUUGUUUUUCUUCUUUGAGGACUGCUAAAUUGCUUGUUUAUAUCAACAGUCAAGAGGAUUGAUUCCCCUUUUAGACUGCAAUUUUCUAUUUUUAACUCAGGCAAGACAGAUUCUUAGAAUGGGUUGAUGAUUAGAUGAUAUGUGACAUUCUUGUAGCCUUUUCGAUCUUUCUGCGCAAUGAUCAUAAGAAUUUUUACACUUCGGAAUCAUUGAAUCAAUAUACUACUUGGAAAAGCAAGUUUUGUUUUUUAUGUAUUCACCUAUCUCCUGGAAAAAAGGAGCUGCCAGAUUUCUUACCCCUUUAAGCUUUGUUUUUUUCCUAACAAAUAGGGAACAUGCACGAUGAAUAAGAAACUGGAGAAAGAACAUGUUGGGAUCAUUCAAACCAUGCUCUUAACCUCUUUAUAGUUUUAUUCAUUGUACUGGUACUGGGUAGUACUGUUUGUCCAAAUCGCAUUUCACAAAUCAGAAGAUUUGGAUUAAGGCAUUUCUAGCCUUCUUUAGUCUUCUUUUCCUUCACAUUUUUUCUUAGAAACGUUAGAAAGUUGCAAAUUGUAGGAGGGAAUGCGAUAGGCUUCGGCAAAUCAGAAUAAAUAAUAAUUCCCCGGCGACAGCCAUUGAUUUUGCAACAGCUACACAUCUUCACAUGGCUUGAACAUGUAGCUCUUAUACGAGCCUAGGCUAUUGCAGUAAUGGAGCGAGAACUUAGUAGUGGCAAAUAAAGCACAAAUACAUAGGUGGAAUCCAAUGCGAAGCAUGCCCGUCUAACAAGAGCACAUUUUAUGGGGUUUUGUGUUUUCACACUAAUUUAGCCACCUGAACAACUGUGUUAAAUCACCAAAUGAAUGGCCUUAAAUUCCCAUCAUAUGAUACAGGUGGAAAUCUCACAAGCUGUCCGACUAGCCGUGCUAAUUUACCUUGGAACCGAGUAUAAAAUCUACCAUUUUUGUUUAAAACAUAGGAGAACAUGAUCUAGUCAUGGAUAAAAUGGAAUAUUCUCAAUGUCAGGAAUUGAAGUUGGCCAUUUUGCUUGGUGGGGUGUGGGCUGCUAGGAAUCUCAUGUGUAAACCAUGAGGAAGGCAUUUUUCCUACUUUCGUUCCCUUUCUUUUCCCUUUUAUUUGCACAAAGGAUACGCUUAUCUUGAGAAACAUUGUACAAUAGAUUUUUAUUCUUUUUUUUUUUUUUUUGUCCUUUCCUUUUGAGGCUAUAAGAACUCCUCUACUCUGGAAAGAGACUCAAAAGGAGCUAAAGCAUGAAGAAACAGAGAGAUCUCUAUUGCAGAAGAGAAAGUAGUGGACAUGAGUCUCAAGGACCUUGCUAAGAAACUAGAGGAAUUUGCAAGGCUAGAGAUUGGGAAAAGUACCAUAGUCCAAGAAAUCUCCUUCUUGCAAUGGUAAUGUCCUAUCCUCCUUAUAUGUGUACAGAGCAUUCAUGCGAAGAUCCUUUAUGUAUGUGUUUUUCGUGUCCGUUCCAUAGGCCACAUAACUCAGAAUGUUUUCUUCUUUGCUAUGUAUUGGAAUGAUCUGUGUAUGACUCAGUUCCAUCGUAGAAACAUUCCCUCUUCUCAACAUGUCUUUUCACUAGUUUCUUGAAUCUACUGGGGGCUAAUGCACAGUUCACUAUGAUGACAAAGUGAAUACAACCCACAAUAUAAAAUAAGGACAACUUUUGUUCUAGUUUAAUCAUCCAUGUCGAAGCCGAACCGCAUAUAACGAGGCACUUGUUGGAAGGACAGCAACGAUUCCCAGAAUUGUUAGGGAUUGAUUACUGUGAAAUAUUUCCUUAGAGACAAGCUCUGUUUUUAUUUCAUAUUUAUAAAGAAGUUUCACAGGGGAACUGCAUUAACAGAACAAAUAUUUGUCUGAAAGAACCAUGACUACUCAAGACAGUUUGAGACACCAAGUGUACGACGACAUAAGGUGGGGCGGGCGGAGGAAUCUCUUCAGCCAAUUUGCUCAUGUUUGGGAUUGAACUUGAGAAAUUUUUUAAGGUGCCCUGUCUUUAAAUCUGUAAAGCUUAAAUCAUUGGCUACUAAAGGGUGUGUAAAUGUUCACAUUUAUGACUUGCAGCGUGAUGGUGACAAAAUAAAUGGGUUGUUUUUGGCUCAGAUUUUCCUGGUGACAGACUAAUCUCUCCAUCAUCUAAUAUUGGAUUGAUUCCUUUUUUUAUAUAUCUUGUUUGAUGUGCAAGUUAGCGAAGUAGGAGCUAUCGGAAAUAUUCCAAUGGAAAGGAGAGGUGGACAGGGGUUGCCAAACUAGAAGGAACCUGACAAGGAGCAUCUGCAGAAGAGCUGUCUAAUGUGCUCCUAUACCUCAUAUAUUGUCUGAUAUCUGUGGCAUUGAUCUUGGUGAUGCUGCCAAAAAAAUUGUCUGAUACUCUAUUUCUCUUUUUCAGUGCUGCAAUGGCAGCUACUGCUGGCUGCCUUGGCAGCCCACUCUCUCCUACAUUUCUCACAUCUUUGGCUCUACAAUCUAUCUCUCAUUUUGCUCUCUAACUUGGUGCCUUUUAUAGGCAACAAUGGCAGCUCCUCAAUCAAUGGCUGCACAUGGUUGAUACAUUUGUCAAUGGUGGGUGCAACUACCAUUGACAAAUGGUAACCCUACUUCUUAGGGUAGGUGCCCAUUUAUUGCCCAUUAAUGGCAAAUCCCAACAAUCCCCUUUGACAUUUAUAUGGGCAAUUGUCCUCUUGUUUUUGGCUAUACAUUUGUCCAUUUAUAUCUAGCCAUCACAUUGGCUCUGGCGUUAUGAACUGGGCUCAUUUCGGCCACACACCUUUCUUGAGGUGUCUCCGCUCGUCGUCAUACGACAUUCUGUAAUGGGGCUCCUAUCACGACCCUCACACCUUCCAUUUAAGGUUUCUCCACUCGUCGCCAUGCGACGGUCUGAAUCUGGGACUCAUAUCAUGAUCCUCACACCAUCCAUCCGAGGUGUCUCUGCUCGUCGUCAUGCGGUGGUCUGAAUCUGGGACUCAUAUCAUGGUCCUCACAUAUUUUUUCUGAGGUGUCUUCGCCUGUUGAUUAGUACUUAAAAGUGCAUUAUUUAUCAAGAUUUUAUAUCAUCAUUUUGCACUUAAAGUAUCAAUAACUCCUUAACUAAAGCAUGUUUUAUAAUAACAAGUCUAAUACUAUAAAAUGCCUUAAUAUGAUAAAUGUUAUCUUAAAUGCAGGCCUAUCACAUAAAUCAAAGGAUUGAUUGAUGAGUUCAAGUAUGGAAAUUGAAAGGACAAAGAGAGGGCCAAACUUAGAAAAGAGAUGUUGGUGCAGUCCAAACUGGAACACUAUUCGGUAAUUGGGUCAUAUCUCGAGUUCUAGAUGUCCAAAUGAUCUCAAAUGUUUACAGAUUUGGUAAGACAUAGGCCUACAACUUUCAUUUUCAUCAAGAUCUAAGAAGGCCUUUUGCAAGUCCAAAUUAUAGCAACAACGGAGAAGUCUGAAUCUGUCUGCACCCAAAUAUUGUUUAGUGUUUGGCCCAUAUCUGGAGUUCUAGAAGUCCAAAUGACCUCCUUUUUUUUCCUGGAAAGCUGAGUAAUUUCCUACAACUUUAUGUUUCAAGUGGACCCAGUUCUGAUGCUAGCAUUUUCGUUUUAUUCAGACAAGAAGAUAAGGAUUUUCACAAGUCAAAAGUUGGCCACCCACUCAACAAUUAGUCAUCAAAUCAAUAAUUCUGAAUUUUGGCCUAUAAAAGGAGGCAUUUGCCAUGUAUUUAGGGCUUGGUUGUUCAGAUCAAGUUCAUGCUCUUUAUUUCUCUCUUUAUUUUUUUUUGUAAUUUUAAGUUUUGCUUUCAUUAAUAUCUUGUUUAUGCUUUUCAUUUCCUUUCCUUUACUUAGUUAACUUGUUUUCUUUAUGUUCUUGUUUUGUUUAUUUAUGUUUCUCUUCUUCAUUAUGUUUAGCUAAGUUUAUUAUGUCAAGGUGAAAAGGUUACACUAAUGGUGUAAGAAUAAGUAUGGUGUAAACUCAACAUGGACCUUAAUGUUUAAUAUUAACAUGUCUUAUCUUUUUAUCUUACUAAUUCUUAAUACCUUGCUUGUUAAAUGGUUAAUCUAGAUUUGUGUUGUAUAACACUUGGUACACAAAUGCUUGGCACUCUCAUAGCCCAACCGUAUGGUAUUACCUACACCUGCUAUGAAAGGAACUUGAUUUGUUGUUAACAUCAUGAAUUCCUGACAAUAUUUAAAAGUUUGGUGUUAUGUAAAUAAGAUAAUUAAUAUGAUCAUGUUAAUAAUUUAUAAUGAGCUAUUAAUGACAAAUCAUCCGAUUGGAACCUCCUUCGUGUGUGGUUUCCAAAUUGAGUAAUAAGAGUUUAUACUAUACUUGUUUGAAAUACCAUUGGUGGAUCCUCUAACCUUGACAUUUGUUUUUAUCAUUGUUUAAUCCUUACAUUAAUCUUCCAUCUCAAAGUUCUCAUUAAUUUUCUUCUUCUUUUUAUUUAUAUUAUUAUUAUUACUAUACUACUAUAUACUUACUUAUUAUUAUUAUUAUUAUUAUUAUUUUAUCAUAAAUCAGUAUAUAGGCUGGAAACCUGUAACCCGAUCUUUUAGAUCAUUCUCAGGUAUAACAACGCCACGUACUGAGUAUUAUUAUUAUUAAUAUUAUUAUUACUGUUACUGUUAUUGUUAUUAUUGUUGUUGUUAUUGUUCUUGUUGUUGUAUUGUUAUUUAUAAUUUAUACAAUUAACCUCUCUGUGGUUUGACCCCGGUCUUGCCGGGUUAUUUAUUAAUUUGACACCUUGGAGAAGACAUCAAUCUUUUCAUCGUGUCACCUGUCAUCAUGAGAUGGUCUGAAUCUGGGCUCACAUUAUGGCCCUCACACCAUCUGUCUGAGGUGUCUCCAUCUGUCAUCAUGAGACGGUCUGAACAUGAACCAUAUCAUGGUCCUCACACCUUUUGUCUGAGGUAUCUCCGCCUGUCGUCAUGAGACGGCCAUCCUCCUUCAUCAGGGAUGUCUCGAGUGGCUCCAAGAUUCUCUACCAUGUGGACUUGGGAGAGAUCACUACCACUGAUCACAUAGAAAGAGAAGUUGUGGUGCACUCUUCGCAAUUUCCCAUCUCAUUUUUUAUGUUUUGAGCUUCUAUGCUUUUCUGCUUGAUAGCUCCACCCACACCAACUCUCUUUGGUGUCUUCGCCUUUAAUCGACGGUCGCACCCCCUUAAUUAGGUGCUUCUACAACAACUCAUCUUUCCAUCCUUGCAUGAUUGGAUAUGUCCUCGCUUGUUGCCUUUAUCAAGAGCAUAAGAGACUUCCUGUUGUACAACUUUUCACACAAUCUUUGCUCUGAGCUUCAUCUGAGAACUCUUCUUCUCCUUGCACCUGUUGUCUCAUUACAAUACCUCGUUGGAUCCUACGGGUACUCCUGCACAAUUCUGUGUGCCUUCGUGCAAUUUCUGUUCUCGAGAAUUCUCCAUUUCCUUGCUUAUUUUGACAGCAGCUCCUGUCACAACACCUAUCCAAGUCAAAAUAGGGUGCCAAUCUUCAUUCCUUGCUGUAUUUCUCUUCCAUUAUCAGGGUUCAUCAUUUCCCCUCGAGAAAUUACAGUCACUGAAUCUAACUUCUUUGGAGAAAUCACCACUCCAUCAGAUCCUUGAUCAUACGGAACCCAACUGUUCCCCAUGGGUCCCACUGCGUGACAUGUCUCUGACCUGGCAUGCUGAUGUCAUCCUGGCCUGCUGUGUGCAUGAUGACCUCAUGUUGACGUCAUCCUUAUCCGUGCCAGCCACGUGGGUUGGGUCGUCUGGUAUUUGGGUCGGGUCAGCCCAUCCGGGCGAAGAAGACGCGUGUGACUCGUCUGUGCGCGUGGCCAGCUACCCGCCAGCGCGUGACGACAUGUGUGGCCAUGUCCGACGUCCAAUUUCAACGCGGUUUUCAACAGUGGCUUCGUUCGUCCUCCUCUACACGGUGAUAUGGUCAAAACAAUUUGACAACUUUUAUUUUUUAGCAAAAAUCAAACACCACUUUAAACCAUAUGCUUUAAUACCAAUUGUUGAGAAUCCGACCGGUAAUGUCCUGAUAAUUGCUCAUAGGAGGGUAAGCACACAACAUAAUAUUUAACGUGGUUCGGCAAACCGCCUACAUCCACGGGAGAAGCCAUUUGAUUAUAUAGGGAGAAAACAAGAUUUACAACAAUAGAGGAGGAGGAAUCAUCCCCUCUUUAGCAACUCUCAACCUCACUCUAUUUCUCUCUUUUCAGUGCUACAAUAGCAGCUACUGCUGGCUGCCUUGGCACCCACUAUCUCCUACAUUUCUCACAUCUUUGGCUCUACAAUCUAUCUCUAUUUUGCUCUCUAACUUGGUGCCUUUUAUAGGCAACAAUGGCAGCUCCUCAAUCAAUGGCUGCACAUGGGUUGAUACAUUUGUCAAUGGUGGGUGCAACUACCAUUGACAAAUGGUAACCCUACUUCUUAGGGUAGGUGCCCAUUUAUUGCCCAUUAAUGGCAAAUCCCAACACCGUAUCCUAUAUAUAUAAAAGAGAAUGAAUCAUAAAUAAUAUAAUAAAUGACCACUCUCUUCACCCGACUUUCCAAGAACUGGUCUAGCCUUGACUGCCAGCGUUAACUUUUUGUUAUAAUUAUUUUUUAAAAUAUUUUUAUUAAAAAUAUAUAUUUUUUUUAUUUUUUAAAAAAUUAUUUUUAACAUCAACACAUUAAAAUAAUUUUAAAAUACUAAAAAAUAUUAAUUUAAAACAAAAAAAAUAAUUUUUAUUCAUCUGAUGGUAAGGUACACUGGUCUUAACUUUCCAAUUUUGAUAACGUUGCAAAUUAGUUCAAACUUGCCAAGGCCAGUUGUCAAAGGAUCCUACAUAAACUGUCACUAGCAAAAUGAAAAUCUCAGGGUCAUAACAGUUGCUAUCCUGAACAAUCUUCUUUUCUAUUCAUCUGCUUUUCCAGAAUCUUUACUGGAAAAGAAAGACGCACCAGAAGCACAAAUACACCCCCAAUUCAUGUAUGAUAGCACUAAAAACUCCAUCGCAUUCAAUGCCAUGAUGAAGAAACUCAAUUAAGGUUCCAACGGGAGCCGGGCUUUCUAGCAUGCAUAUAUAAUGUUUUUCUUCUUCGAUGGGAACAUUCCUCCGACACUUUUCUCCAGGUUGAAAUAAGCAUUCGACCGAGUUUGCUUCGAUGGGAGGAACACAGUUUCUUAUUUAUUUAAUCUUUGAUAAUUACGGAACUGCUAAAUCUAACGCGAAAAUAAAGCUUCUAGGAAUUAGUAAAGCAAGGUGCAAAUUAUCAGUGCACUUGGUUGUGGCGUCGUCUCUCAUAUUUAACAACACAUUGUUGAAAGUAGGAAGUGGACGUUUUUUUCCCCUGAAGGGUAGUAGCAGCAUAAGCGAAUUCUAUAUAUGAGAACACACAAAUUUUCACUCCAUAAAAAGUAACUAGUGCGCAGGAUUAAAAAAGGAACAUAAGAAGAUUGACCUCGAAAUCUUAAAUAUAUGGAAAAUCUUCUUAAACUUCUCAAUCUGUGAGUCCAUAGAAAACCAACUGAAAAAACAUCCCAAAACAACUUGCUUCGUGUUGAUAACAAAAUUGGACGUCCUUGUACAGAUUACUCUUAAGCAGCACUUUCUUUCUUCAACUUCGCAAGUUCUUGCCUGAUCAAUCCACCCCUCUACAAUUGCGUGUAAACAAGAUGUAUAUUAGAUUGAGAAUGAAAGUAUCAAAAUUACAAAAUCAUGAAAAAUAAAGAUGGAAUCCUAGAAAGCCAUAAAUAAAUAUCAAACAGUAGAAAUAGAAGUUCAAAAUCCAAACCUAGUAAAAUAAGUCAGUGGAUUUAAAUUUGGAAGUAAAUCAUAAAAACAUUUCAAGAGCCAAUCUUUUAUAUAGCACUAUAACCAACCUUGAUCUGAGCCAACAUCAACUUGAACCGAUCAAAGUCAUUGAGAGCUGCCCUUCUCUUCUGGACAAUCAGCCUUCUGCCCCAAGAGCUAUUCUCCCACUUGUUCUUAACAUCUAUCAUCGGGAAAUGUAAGAUUAAAAGAAUGGGAGGAGAAGAGAAGAGCUGUAGACGGGAAGACUAAAGAGAUACAGAAAAAUGUAUUUUCCUUAAUGAUGUUUACUGUUACAUGAUGGUCUUAUAUAAUACCAUCUUAAAUUCAAAAUAAUCCUAUAAUCAAGGAUACAAUUAAUGAUAAGAUAUACACAUAUUUUCUAAUAUUGUUGUAGAUGUGAUCACGUUAUCUUCAGAUUCAAAUAUCUCUUGUGCAGGUAUGAUCAGGUAUGGUCAGGUAUGAUUAGGGAUAACAAUCCCUGAUCAUGAUCUUUCCAGUAUCCAGACUUCCUGAUACUUAUCGUACUCCCUGAUCAUGUUUAUCUUCAAUAUCAAUAUUAUCUUUAUUGUAGAUAUGCUUGGAGAUCACGAUUAUCUUCAGUAGUAGUAAUCUCUCUUGUUCAGGUAUGGUCAGGUCAGGUCAGGUAUGAUCAGGUCAGGUCAGGUCAGGGAUAUCAAUCCCUGAUCAUGUUUAUCUUCAGUAUCAGUAUUAUCUUCAGGAGAUUGGAUAAUAUCGUUAAACCCCCGCAAUCUUGACGGGAGGUCACAAACGUGAAGAUUGGAGCACAAAAAUUAAACCGUGCAGUAGAGAGUGGUUUUGUCAGGAGAUCGGCUAGCUGGUCACGAGUAGAUAAAAACCUGACUAUCAAUUUCUAUUGAGAAACUAGAUCUCUAACGAAGUGAAAGUCAAUUUCAAUGUGCUUUGUUCGGGCAUGGAACACUGGAUUUGAGGAUAGAUACAUGGCACCUAUAUUGUCACCAGAGAGUGGGACUUUUGGAGAGUGGCAGACCAAGUUCGGCAGCUAAAUAUUGUAACCAUUGGAGUUCGAUUGCUGUGUCCGCGAGAGCCUUGUAUUCAGCCUCAGUACUGCUACGAGCGACUGUAGCUUGAUGUUUGCUUCGCCAGGAAAUUAAAGUGGAGCCAUAAAUAAAUAUAAACAGUAGAAAUAGAAGUUCAAAAUCCAAACCUAGUAAAAUAAGUCAGUGGAUUUAAAUUUGGAAGUAAAUCAUAAAAACAUUUCAAGAGCCAAUCUUUUAUAUAGCACUUAAAAUCCUUGAUCUUAGCCAACAUCAACUUGAACCGAUCAAAGUCAUUGAGAGCUGCCCUUCUCUUCUAGACAAUCAGCCUUCUGCCCCAAGAGCUAUUCUCCCACUUGUUCUUAACAUCUAUCAUCGGGAAAUGUAAGAUUAAAAGAAUGGGAGGAGAAGAGAAGAGCUGUAGACGGGAAGACUAAAGAGAUACAGAAAAAUGUAUUUUCCUUAAUGAUGUUUACUGUUACAUGAUGGUCUUAUAUAAUACCAUCUUAAAUUCAAAAUAAUCCUAUAAUCAAGGAUACAAUUAAUGAUAAGAUAUACACAUAUUUUCUAAUAUUGUUGUAGAUGUUGAUCACGUUAUCUUCAGAUUCAAUAUCUCUUGUGCAGGUAUGAUCAGGUAUGAUCAGGUAUGAUUAGGGAUAACAAUCCCUGAUCAUGAUCUUUUCCAGUAUCCAGACUUCCUGAUACUUAUCGUACUCCCUGAUCAUGUUUAUCUUCAAUAUCAAUAUUAUCUUUAUUGUAGAUAUGCUUGGAGAUCCGAUUAUCUUCAGUAGUAGUAAUCUCUCUUGUUCAGGUAUGGUCAGGUCAGAUCAGGUCAGGUAUGAUCAGCGUCAGGUCAGGUCAGGGAUAUCAAUCCCUGAUCAUGUUUAUUCAGUAUCAGUAUUAUUUCAGGAGAUUGGAUAAUAUCGUUAAACACGCCCCCGCAAUCUUGACGGGAGGUCACAAACGUGAAGAUUGGAGCACAAAAAUUAAACCGUGCAAUAGAGAGUGGUUUUGUCAGGAGAUCGGCUAGCUGGUCACGAGUAGAUAAAAACCUGACUAUCAAUUUCUGUUGAGAAACUAGAUCUCUAACGAAGUGAAAGUCAAUUUCAAUGUGCUUUGUUCGGGCAUGGAACACUGGAUUUGAGGAUAGAUACAUGGCACCUAUAUUGUCACACCAGAGAGUGGGACUUUUGGAGAGUGGCAGACCAAGUUCGGCAGCUAAAUAUUGUAACCAUUGGAGUUCGAUUGCUGUGUCCGCGAGAGCCUUGUAUUCAGCCUCAGUACUGCUACGAGCGACUGUAGCUUGAUGUUUGCUUCGCCAGGAAAUUAAAGUGGAGCCAUAAAUAAAUAUCAAACAGUAGAAAUAGAAGUUCAAAAUCCAAACCUAGUAAAAUAAGUCAGUGGAUUUAAAUUUGGAAGUAAAUCAUAAAAACAUUUCAAGAGCCAAUCUUUUAUAUAGCACUAUAACCAUCCUUGAUCUUAGCCAACAUCAACUUGAACCGAUCAAAGUCAUUGAGAGCUGCCCUUCUCUUCUGGACAAUCAGCCUUCUGCCCCAAGAGCUAUUCUCCCACUUGUUCUUAACAUCUAUCAUCGGGAAACAAUACAUCUCAAUAAAGGGAGGAGGUAUUUAGAGCACAAAUGACACAACUUUCAGUUAGAACUACCCCCUUACCAGCCUUCUCCAUGGCUUCAAUCAAUGCCUUCUUCUUCGGAACCCGGUUGAUAUCAAUCUUGAUAUCGGUGAGUGAGAUUCUCUUGAAGUUCAUUUGGCUCCUCACCAUAUCUGGGGCAUCAACC
RNAcentral lists this long non-coding RNA (18520 nucleotides) under Populus tremula. Its description in RNAcentral is "long non-coding RNA (PTRE_LNC000498)". The record is from RNAcentral. Lineage: Eukaryota; Viridiplantae; Streptophyta; Magnoliopsida; Malpighiales; Salicaceae.